GGAAAUAAAAGUCGUAACAAGGUUUCCGUAGGUGAACCUGCGGAAGGAUCAUUAAAGAGUAAGGGUCUUCGGGCCCGAUCUCCAACCCUUUGUUUAACUAUCAUGUUGCUUUGGCGGGCCCGCCUCACGACCGCCGGAAGUUUGGCUUCGACCUAACUUCUGGCCCGUGCCCGUCAGUGGCCCCUUCAAAUUCUUGAUCAAGUAUGAUGUCUUAGUUAAAAACUUAAUAGUUAAAACUUUCAACAACGGAUCUCUUGGUUCUG
This 263-nucleotide unclassified non-coding RNA is filed under the name plant metagenome. RNAcentral describes it as "partial contains small subunit ribosomal RNA, internal transcribed spacer 1, and 5.8S ribosomal RNA". The stretch from base 1 to 54 matches the Rfam family "Eukaryotic small subunit ribosomal RNA", at positions 1778 to 1831 of the family's 1831-position model. The record is from RNAcentral.